RNAcentral lists this ribosomal RNA (253 nucleotides) under uncultured bacterium. RNAcentral describes it as "partial 16S ribosomal RNA". It matches the Rfam family "Bacterial small subunit ribosomal RNA", at positions 524 to 776 of the family's 1533-position model. The record is from RNAcentral.
UACGGAGGGAGCUAGCGUUGUUCGGAAUUACUGGGCGUAAAGCGUGCGUAGACGGUUACAUGAGUCGGGUGUGAAAGCCCCGGGCUCAACCUGGGAAUUGCAUUCGAGACUGCGUAGCUAGGGUGCGGAAGAGGGAAGCGGAAUUUCCGGUGUAGCGGUGAAAUGCGUAGAUAUCGGAAGGAACACCAGUGGCGAAAGCGGCUUCCUGGUCCAGCACCGACGUUCAGGCACGAAAGCGUGGGGAGCAAACAGG